AGAAAAACAAACCAUGGGUUUCCGUGUACAACUUUGACUGUCCGUCUUAUAUAAAAUUUUUUUAUAAUUUAUAUUUUCAUUGUUGUUAGAUGAUAAAACAUGAUUAACAUUUUAUGUGUGACUUUUCUUUUUAUUUUUUUUAAAUAAAAUGGACGGUCAAACAUUAGACCAGGGUUUGUCUUUUU
Oryza rufipogon (brownbeard rice) is the source of this 185-nucleotide microRNA precursor. It matches the Rfam family "MIR812 microRNA precursor family". Lineage: Eukaryota; Viridiplantae; Streptophyta; Magnoliopsida; Poales; Poaceae. The record is from Rfam.